RNAcentral lists this ribosomal RNA (393 nucleotides) under uncultured bacterium. RNAcentral describes it as "partial 16S ribosomal RNA". It matches the Rfam family "Bacterial small subunit ribosomal RNA", at positions 523 to 918 of the family's 1533-position model. The record is from RNAcentral.
AUACGGAAGGUCCGGGCGUUAUCCGGAUUUAUUGGGUUUAAAGGGAGCGCAGGCGGAGAUGCAAGCGUGACGUCAAAUUUCGGGGCUCAACCCCGUCUCGCGUCGCGAACUGCGUCCCUUGGUUGCGGGAAGGGGAGGCGGAACUCGUGGUGUAGCGGUGAAAUUCAUAGAUAUCACGAAGAACUCCGAUCGCGAAGGCAGCCUUCCGGCCCGUCAACGACGCUCAUGCUCGAAGGUACGGGUAUCAAACAGGAUUAGAUACCCUGGUAGUCCGCACAGUAAACGAUGGACACCCGCGGUUUGGCCUAUAUGGCUGAGCCGCCAAGCGAAAGCGUUAAGUGUCCCACCUGGGGAGUACGCCGGCAACGGUGAAACUCAAAUGAAUGGACGUGG